Long non-coding RNA from Juglans microcarpa x Juglans regia, 1160 nucleotides. RefSeq lists it as uncharacterized. Lineage: Eukaryota; Viridiplantae; Streptophyta; Magnoliopsida; Fagales; Juglandaceae. The transcript has 4 exons. The record is from RefSeq and is a predicted model, not a curated record.
AUUGGGCUUAAUUAUUAUUAGUGUUUUAUUUUAUGUAUUUUUUUUAUGUUGAAGAGCUAAAUUCCGUGGGAGUAACAGAACACGUCGCAUGAUUCCUUUUUCAUGCAUACAUUUUCAUCCCCUUUCCUCUAGGUUUUCCGUUUACUAUUUAUAUCUCCUAUUUAUACAUACUUAUACGGUCAUCAUCUCAACCCUAGUUUAUUUGCCGCUGCUCUUCCUCUUCACGCUCUUAGCCUUCCAUACUCAUCUAAACCUCCACCCCCAACCUCAGUGCAAACCACAACCUCUUCUUAGAACAACACCAAAUCGUAAGGCUUGGUUUGCUUCCAGUAAAACUGCCACCCGCAAAACCUAUUCACGUGCCGCAACUCCACCAAACCUAGUCCACGCCGGUGCCCAGCCACACGAAGUCCACCCCUCAAGCCGUGCACCACCACCCUCUCCGUGUAAUCUUUACCUUGGUUGCACCACCGAAAGGCAGAGCUCCAGCCAGCUAACGGGUGGCCACUUUCCCCCGGACCUAGCCCACGCGGAAGCUCAGCCCCGUAGCCGCCUCCCAAUGCAUUCGUAGCCUCCAUUACAAGCUCCGAAAAUCCUCUGUUUUAGUUGUCUAAAACAGAGCAGCGUCCAAGCUGCUGCAGUCACGCUCCAUCGAGAGCUCCACCGCGCGUGCCCACAGAAACUGUCGGCGAGGACCUUCCAUCACCUUGGUCCGCCACACGCCGCCUCAGUUUUUCCCACUCUAGUGACCAAGCGCCACCCUCGUUCGCCUUAGCCAGCCCCCAGCUCCACGCCGUCGUGCUCCCCCACCUCUCCGUGACGAUUAAUUUUGUUCGGCAUUGUUGAGGAAAUUUUCGAAAAGCUAAGAAGUCCAGAUGAUUUGAAUGUUUCAGUUGAGGAUCAAGGAUAUGGAGCAUGGGUGAGAAGAGUUAGAAUGAUGGUUUAAGCAUAGAAGAUUUAUAUGGGUAUUGAAAGUUUUCAUCCAGUAAGCUUGUUGGGUUCUGAUGUUGUGAUUUGUUGGGAGAUUGAUGUUUAUAUUAAGACUUUGUAUUGUCUUAGAAUAGUUAUUCUGGAGUAAGUGAUGUAAAUAUAUGAGUAUUUUGUGCGAUAGAGAAAAAUUAGAGUAUGUACUAUGUGGAAGAAAAAUGAUUUUUAAGUGA